Molecule: ribosomal RNA, 468 nt
Filed under: uncultured bacterium
Lineage: Bacteria
Description: partial 16S ribosomal RNA
Rfam family: Bacterial small subunit ribosomal RNA
Source: RNAcentral
GACGAACGCUGGCGGCGUGCUUAACACAUGCAAGUCGAACGGAAAGGCCCUGCUUUUGUGGUGUGCUCGAGUGGCGAACGGGUGAGUAACACGAGAGUAACCUGCCCUUGACUUUGGGAUAACUUCAGGAAACGGGGGCUAAUACCGUAUAGGAGCUCCUGCUGCAUGGUGGGGGUUGGAAAGUUUCGGCGGUUGGGGAUGGACUCGCGGCUGAUCAGCUUGUUGGUGGGGUAGUGGCUUACCAAGGCUUUGACGGGUAGCCGGCCUGAGAGGGUGACCGGCCACAUUGGGACUGAGAGACGGACCAGUCUCCUACGGGAGGCAGCAGUGGGGAAUAUUGCACAAUGGGCGGAAGCCUGAUGCAGCAACGCCGCGUGCGGGAUGACGGCCUUCGGGUUGUAAACCGCUUUCGCCUGUGACGAAGCGUGAGUGACGGUAAUGGGUAAAGAAGCACCGGCUAACUACGUG